UAAGGAAUAUUGGUCAAUGGGCGAGAGCCUGAACCAGCCAUGCCGCGUGCAGGAAGACGGCCUUAUGGGUUGUAAACUGCUUUUAUCGGGGAAUAAACCUAUCUACGUGUAGAUAGCUGAAGGUACCCGAAGAAUAAGCAUCGGCUAACUCCGUGCCAGCAGCCGCGGUAAUACGGAGGAUGCAAGCGUUAUCCGGAUUCAUUGGGUUUAAAGGGUGCGCAGGCGGAUUGGUAAGUCAGUGGUGAAAUUCAACGGCUCAACUGUUGAUCUGCCAUUGAUACUGUCAGUCUAGAGUAUAGUUGGAGUGGGCGGAAUGUGUCAUGUAGCGGUGAAAUGCUUAGAUAUGACACAGAACACCGAUCGCGAAGGCAGCUCACUAAGCUAAAACUGACACUGAAGCACGAAAGCGUGGGGAUCAAACA
This 422-nucleotide ribosomal RNA is filed under the name uncultured prokaryote. Its description in RNAcentral is "bacterial SSU rRNA". It matches the Rfam family "Bacterial small subunit ribosomal RNA", at positions 355 to 774 of the family's 1533-position model. The record is from RNAcentral.